GACGAACGCUGGCGGCGUGCUUAACACAUGCAAGUCGAACGGAAAGGCCCUGCUUUUGUGGGGUGCUCGAGUGGCGAACGGGUGAGUAACACGUGAGUAACCUGCCCUUGACUUUGGGAUAACUUCAGGAAACUGGGGCUAAUACCGGAUAGGAGCUCCUGCUGCAUGGGGGGGGUUGGAAAGUUUCGGCGGUUGGGGAUGGACUCGCGGCUUAUCAGCUUGUUGGUGGGGUAGUGGCUUACCAAGGCUUUGACGGGUAGCCGGCCUGGGAGGGUGACCGGCCACAUGGGGACUGAGAUACGGCCCAGACUCCUACGGGAGGCAGCAGUGGGGAAUAUUGCACAAUGGGCGGACGCCUGAUGCAGCAAUGCCGCGUGCGGGAUGACGGCCUUCGGGUUGUAAACCGCUUUGGCCUGUGACGAAGCGUGAGUGACGGUAAUGGGUAAAGAAGCACCGGCUAACUACGUG
This 468-nucleotide ribosomal RNA is filed under the name uncultured bacterium. Its description in RNAcentral is "partial 16S ribosomal RNA". It matches the Rfam family "Bacterial small subunit ribosomal RNA", at positions 28 to 507 of the family's 1533-position model. The record is from RNAcentral.